GACGAACGCUGGCGGCGUGCUUAACACAUGCAAGUCGAACGGAGUGGCGAACGGGUGAGUAUUACGUGAGUAACCUGCCCUCAACUGUGGGAUAAGCCUGGGAAACUGGGUCUAAUACUGCAUAGUUGGGGAUGGGCUACCGGCCUAUCAGCUUGGUGGUGGGGUGCUGGCCUACCAAGGCGGUGACGGGUAGCCGGCCUGAGAGGGGGGUCGUCCAGAUUUGGAAUGGGAUGCGGCCCAGAAGCCUACGGGGGGCAGCGGUGGAGGGUAUUGCACAAUGGGCGCAAGCGUGAUGCAGCGACGCCGCGUGAGGGAUAAAGGCUUUCGGGUUGUAAACCUCUUGCGGUACUGAACGGUUAUGUGCAGAGUAAGCGCCGGCUGACUACGUGCCAGCAGCCGCGGUAAUAC
RNAcentral lists this ribosomal RNA (408 nucleotides) under uncultured bacterium. RNAcentral describes it as "partial 16S ribosomal RNA". It matches the Rfam family "Bacterial small subunit ribosomal RNA", at positions 28 to 526 of the family's 1533-position model. The record is from RNAcentral.